This is a long non-coding RNA of Phacochoerus africanus (Common warthog), 2402 nucleotides long. RefSeq lists it as uncharacterized. The transcript has 5 exons. The record is from RefSeq and is a predicted model, not a curated record. NCBI's taxonomy places the organism in Eukaryota, Metazoa, Chordata, Mammalia, Artiodactyla, Suidae.
GCUGCCCCGCUGCGCGGCGCGGGCUCCCGGCCCCCGGCGCUCUCACACUCUCCCGCUCGGCUCCAACUUGCAGGCAUCCAUGGCCGGCCGUCCUCCGAGGGCGGCGGGACAAGCGAGGGCGGCGGGUCGAGUGGCGCGAUGAGGAAACAAAGGAGCAGAACGUGGCACGGUUUGGACUAGAAACGAGUAGCCUGAGCUCCCUCUCCUCUGCAUCACGGAACGCUAAAUGAAGGGGCAGCUAUGCGAGGACCCUCCGGAAGCUGCCAGAAAUGUCGGUGAUGGGCAUUAGUGGGGCUCAGUUUACACCUGUCGCUCCCUCCGUGGAGCCCACUCAGCCCUUCGGACCAGGCAAUGGUGAGCCAUUGAAGUUUUCUGAACAGAGAAGUACUUAUUGGGAGCUGUUGGAGCUGUGCUUCCAGGAGAUGAAUCUGGCAAUAACAUGGAGAUCCCUGCAGAGCCUCCCUAUUGCCACGGUUGCCAUUGCUCUUCAAGACGAUAGAUCAGCUGAAGGCAGCUGCCCCCACCCCCCGGUCCAAUGAUCUACUAUGUCAAAGUGGUACCCCAGUGGCUAACUCUCCCUUGUGGGCCGUGGCAUCCCAGGGGUCUCCUGGCUUUGGGCGUUGGAGGUCUGAGCAAUGAUUGAAAGAUCCAGUUCCCUCUUGAACCACCCAAUUCUCCAGGAAGAAGGGAUUCCAGAAGGAAAAUUAGCCAACACCCCGUUUCUGGUCAGAAGGCCCUCAGCACGUUCCUGUGAAUAAUCGUAUCCCAAAUCCUAAGGAAUUCUGGAUGGACUUGCAGGUGCAUUCUUGGUUUGGGGUGGGAGUGCCUAAAACUCAAUUGGAACUGAGAAGAGGGUUUUGGUGAGGAUCCGUGUGGCCCAGGGAGCUUAGACAGAGAGAUGGGACGGGGCUGGGUAGAGCUCUAGCCUGGAGCACAUCUAUUGCAGAAAGAGGUGACAGGGAAAAGACAGAGAAAAAAAGACCCUCAACCUCCCACCCGUACUCUCUCCCCUUCGACGGUGCCUUUAAAUCCAGGGUGGAGGGGGCAUUGUGGCCACAAUAAUUAUCAGGAUGGACUACUUGUUGAGAGGAACCUGAUAUUUUUUGAGAGCCAUACGGAAGCCCCCAGAAUGGAACUUAUUGUAAGGGAGGACCAGUGCUCCUGAGUCAGCCCAAGCCCUGCCGAGAAAGUGCCUGGUAGACAUGCUGGAAGUGGAGGUGAAGCCAAGCAUCCUUCUCCAGGGCGCUGAUCUUUUUAGGAUCUGAUGAAAGCUGUGUCCCUCUGCCCUGCAAACGGCACACAUGCACAAGGUCAGUGUUUACAUGGCAACCUGCAGGAGCCCAGCUGCGGCCCUGAGUUAGCAGUCCCUGCUGAGAAAGGGUAUUUCAGGCAGGAGGCAACCCUGAACCCAAAGUCCCUGUGAUCCAGGCUAAUGAGGGGUGUUCGUGACAUGAAGGAUCCAGAAUGAGACACAUCUAAAGCAGAGUUCUGAAAUGUAAGGUGAAAAAAAAGAACAAGCCUGAUACACACUUCAUUGCAGGUCAGGUCUGUGAAAAAUCCCCACCUAGAAAGAGAAAAAUGCAGAGGCAACAUAGAGAAAGGAAAACAAUUUGUGGGUAAAGGGUUUUUAUUUUGAAAUUUUGCUUUGAUAUCAUGAAGUUACUUUAAUGAUAUGAUUUAAUGAUUUAACUUUUUCUAUAUUAUGUAAAGUGCUUUUCUUCCAAAAAAUAAGCCUAUGAAUUGAAUUUGAUUUAGGUUAAUAUCAAUGCCCUGUGUGCUUUGAGCGCAUGCUUCUGGGGAAAGAUGCUCCAGGAUGGAGCCAGGUGGCCUGGAGAGGACGUCCAAAGGGUGGGUCACUGACUUUUGAGGAUCCUCAGGAGGCAGUCGAGCAGGUGGCAGGCAUGUGGUUGGAGUCCAGAGUCCUAGCUUUGUGUUCUGGGCAAGAAGGGUGACCAGUUGUCCCAUUUUGCCUGGGCCUGAGCAAGGGUUCCUGAGACAUGGAUCUUUCUGUCUUAAAACCAGGAACGUUCUGGGCAAGCCAGAGGGAGCUAGUUAAUCCUAUGUAUAUAUUAACCUCUCUCUGCUUCAGUUUCCUCAUUUGUAAAAGGAUGCUGCUGACUUUCAGAACCUUUGUAAAAGCACUUUGGGGACUCCACCAUCUUCACGCCGGAUGAGGAUGAUGUUUAUUACUGGUGGUGUGGAACCGGGGCCAGGAGUGGGAGAACCUUGAGAUCAAAGAGACCAGGGGCCUGUUUGAACCACCCUGUGAUGUAUAUGUAGAGAGCUUGAGCCAGCCACUCUCUCUCAAGAGACUUGUAAUGACAAUUCAUUCAACAAAUAUUGAUGCACCACCUAUGACCAAGUACCAUGCUAGGCAUUGGAAUAAAGCCAUGUACUACUGA